This 320-nucleotide long non-coding RNA is filed under the name Vigna radiata. RNAcentral's name for it is "long non-coding RNA (VRAD_LNC015063)". The record is from RNAcentral. Lineage: Eukaryota; Viridiplantae; Streptophyta; Magnoliopsida; Fabales; Fabaceae.
GCAAAGCUAAGGGGUUUUCUUUCUCACGUUCAUUUUACGCAGAGAGGCUAAAAUCAAUUUGGGGCUUGCUCCCAACUCUCUCAUUCGAGCUAGGGUUCAUCAAACACAGUGAGAGGAAGUAGAGCAGAACCAGACGUGAGCUCUAUGGAUCAAGAAAGGAAGCUGAAUAAAGGUGUCUCGACCCAACAGAAGCAAGCCCAAGAGAUUGAUCGGUCAGAAUGGAGGCAUGUGCGAAGCAGUUGACGGUUGGAGCGUUCUUGAUCCGAGUUCGUUGAAUUAAUGCCCCAGAAUAUUCCAAGUCUGUUAUUCGGUGCUUUCCC